UCACUAUGAUGAUUGAUUUUUUUUUUUAACCAUUUGCAGUUUCCACCAGAAAGGUUUUCCUUAGUGUUGGCUUAACCUUCCUUGGAUGUCUGAGUGA
Molecule: small nucleolar RNA, 97 nt
Organism: Chelonoidis abingdonii (Abingdon island giant tortoise)
Lineage: Eukaryota; Metazoa; Chordata; Testudines; Testudinidae
Gene: SNORD14
Rfam family: Small nucleolar RNA SNORD14
About the family: U14 small nucleolar RNA (U14 snoRNA) is required for early cleavages of eukaryotic precursor rRNAs. In yeasts, this molecule possess a stem-loop region (known as the Y-domain) which is essential for function. A similar structure, but with a different consensus sequence, is found in plants, but is absent in vertebrates.
Source: Ensembl